RNAcentral lists this long non-coding RNA (864 nucleotides) under Astyanax mexicanus (Mexican tetra). Its description in RNAcentral is "lncRNA (ENSAMXG00005002696.1)". Lineage: Eukaryota; Metazoa; Chordata; Actinopteri; Characiformes; Acestrorhamphidae. The record is from RNAcentral.
AUGCAGCAAUUACACCAGACUACAAGCAACUCUCAGGCUCUUAUGCUGAAGAUCACUCAGUGGAGGAACUACUCAACCAACACCAUGCUUUCUCUAAACUGGAUAUUAGUCCUGACACUGGCGCAUCUACACUACCUGGCAACUAGCUUGUCAUUGAGUUCUGUGAAAUGGAAUCAUUUAGUGGAACUGAACGACACCAUCUGUAAAGAGAACACUUCCUUUCACAGUCCCACGACUCAUGUUGAGCAUAAUUGUACUGUGUCAGCUUUGAAAUGCACCAUGAGAGAGCUGGAAAAAGCUCAAAGCAAGUGCUCUUACAUUAGACAUCACCUGCAGAUUAACGGGAAGGCAAAGCGCAUAAUUGAUUCUCUGACCAAAAGAUCUGCAUCUACAGUACGUAUUAUUUAUCUAAUUCUGAAACAUGUAAAGGUAUUUGAUGUGACAGAGUUCCUAAUCAUUAUUUUUUGUGUCUUCUAGGAUAAUGCUACUAACUGCACACCAUGUGAUGGCUAUGAAGUAGAACCCUAUAAGAAAUUUAUCACAAACCUGUAUCCACUCAUCAAUCGGCUAAUCGCGGUGGGAUAGGAAAUUCAACUCAGAAAUGUGCUAGAUAAUUUAUAAACCAUCUCUGCGGCAAUGGAUGUAUUGAAUGUUUUUACUUGUCUAAAUUGUUAGGAAUAAUGCUGCUAAAUUCCAUGAAGAUAGUGAAAUUCCAAUCUCUUUCCAUCUCUUUCUCUUUAUUUUUUUACAUAAAGCACUAGUAAUGUAAUAUAAACUUAUGUUAAAUAGUAUUUAUGUAUUUAUUGAAGUAUUUAAAUUAAUUUAUACAAUAAAUUGUUCAUUUGUUAAAUAAAAAACGUGAUC